UACGGAGGGGGCUAGCGUUGUUCGGAAUUACUGGGCGUAAAGCGCACGUAGGCGGACUGUUUAGUCAGGGGUGAAAUCCCGAGGCUCAACCUCGGAAUUGCCUCUGAUACUGGCAGUCUCGAGUCCGGAAGAGGUGAGUGGAAUUCCGAGUGUAGAGGUGAAAUUCGUAGAUAUUCGGAGGAACACCAGUGGCGAAGGCGGCUCACUGGUCCGGUACUGACGCUGAGGUGCGAAAGCGUGGGGAG
RNAcentral lists this ribosomal RNA (245 nucleotides) under uncultured Tepidamorphus sp. RNAcentral describes it as "partial 16S ribosomal RNA". It matches the Rfam family "Bacterial small subunit ribosomal RNA", at positions 524 to 768 of the family's 1533-position model. The record is from RNAcentral. Lineage: Bacteria; Pseudomonadati; Pseudomonadota; Alphaproteobacteria; Hyphomicrobiales; Tepidamorphaceae.